CAGAGAGACAGGAGAGAGGGGUUAGGGAGACGUUAGAGAGGUUAGAGAGACAGGGGAGAGGGGUUAGAGAGACGUUAGAGAGGUUAGAGAGACAGCAGAGAGGGGUUAGGGAGACGUUAGAGAGGUUAGAGAGACAGGGGAGAGGGGUUAGAGAGACGUUAGAGAGGUUAGCGACAGCAGAGAGGGGUUAGGGAGACGUUAGAGAGGUUAGAGAGACAGGGGAGAGGGGUUAGAGAGACGUUAGAGAGGUUAGAGAGACAGGAGAGAGGGGUUAGAGAGACGUUAGAGAGGUUAGAGAGACAGGGGAGAGGGGUUAGACAGACGUUAGAGAGGUUAGAGAGACAGGAGAGAGGGGUUAGGGAGACGUUAGAGAGGUUAGAGAGACAGCAGAGAGGGGUUAGAGAGACGUUAGAGAGGUUAGAGAGACAGCAGAGAGGGGUUAGGGAGACGUUAGAGGUUAGAGAGACAACAGAGAGGGGUUAGGGAGACGUUAGAGAGGUUAGAGAGACAGCAGAGAGGGGUUAGAGAGACGUUAGAGAGACAGGAGAGAGGGGUUAGGGAGCCGUUAGAGAGACAGGGGAGAGGGGUUAGAGAGACGUUAGAGAGGUUAGAGAGACAGGAGAGAGGGGUUAGAGAGACGUUAGAGAGGUUAGAGAGACAGCAGAGAGGGGUUAGGGAGACGUUAGAGAGGUUAGAGAGACAGCAGAGAGGGGUUAGAGAGAGGUUAGAGAGACAGCAGAGAGGGGUUAGGGAGACGUUAGAGAGGUUAGAGAGACAGCAGAGAGGGGUUAGGGAGACGUUAGAGAGGUUAGAGAGACAGCAGAGAGGGGUUAGGGAGACGUUAGAGAGGUUAGAGAGACAGCAGAGAGGGGUUAGAGAGACGUUAGAGAGGUUAGAGAGACAGGAGAGAGGGGUUAGGGAGACGUUAGAGAGACAGCAGAGAGGGGUUAGAGAGAUGUUAGAGAGGUUAGAGAGACAGCAGAGAGGGGUUAGGGAGACGUUAGAGAGGUUAGAGAGACAGCAGAGAGGGGUUAGAGAGACGUUAGAGAGGUUAGAGAGACAACAGAGAGGGGUUAGGGAGACGUUAGAGAGGUUAGAGAGACAGCAGAGAGGGGUUAGGGAGACGUUAGAGCGGUUAGAGAGAAAGGAGAGAGAGAAAGGACUGAGAGGUUAGAGAGAGAUGAGAGAGAGGUUAGAGAGACAGGAGAGAGAGAUUAAAGAGACAGGAGGGAGAGGUUAGAGAGACGUUAGAGCGGUUAGAGAGAAAGGAGAGAGAGAAAGGACUGAGAGGUUAGAGAGAGAUGAGAGAGAGGUUAGAGAGACAGGAGAGAGAGAUUAGAGAGAAAUGAGAGAUAUGUUAGAGAGACAAGUUAGAGAGACAGGAGAGAGAGGUUAGAGAGACAGGAGAGAGAGGUUAGAGAGAAAGGAGAGAGAGGUUAAAGAGAAAGGAGAGAGAGGUUAGAGAGCAAGGAGAGAGAGGUUAGAGAGCAAGGAGAGAGAGGUUAGAGAGCAAGGAGAGAGAGGUUAGAGAGAGAUGAGAGUGGGGUUAGAGAGGUUAGAGGGACAGGAGAGAGGUUAGAAAGACAGAAGAGAGAGAUUAGAGAGACAGGAUAGAGAGGUUAGAGACACAUGAGAGAGGGGUUAGAGAGACAGGAGAGAGAGGUUAGAGAGAAAGGAGACAGAGGUUAGAGAGACAGGAGAGAGAGGUUAGAGAGACAGGAGAGAGGGGUUAGUGAGACGUUAGAGAGACAGGACAGAGGUUAGAGAGACAGCAGAGAGAGGUCAGAGAGAAAGGAGAGAGAGUUUAGAGAGACAGGAGAGAGGGGUUAGAGAGAGAUGAGAGAGAGGUUAGAGAGACAGGAGAGAGAGGUUAGAUACAGGAGAGAGAGGUUAGAGAGACAGGAGAGAGAGGUUAGAGAGACAGGGGAGAGAGGUUAGAGAGACGUUAGAGAGGUUAGAGAGAAAGGAGAGAGAGAAAUGAGAGAGAGGUUAGAGAGCAAGGAGAGAGAGGUUAGAGAGACAGGAGAGAGAGAUUAGAGAGAAAUGAGAGAGAUGUUAGAGAGACAGGUUAGAGAGACAGGAGAGAGAGAUUAUAGAGACAGGAUAGAGAGGUUAGAGACACAGGAGAGAGGGGUUAGAGAGGUUAGAGACACAGGAGAGAGAGGUUAGAGAGACAGGAGAGAGAGGUUAGAGAGAAAGGAGAGAGAGGUUAGAGAGACAGGAGAGAGAGGUUAGAGAGACAUGAGAGAGGGGUUAGUGAGACGUUAGAGAGACAGGACAGAGAGGUUAGAGAGCAAUGAGAGAGAGGUUAGAGAGACAGCAGAGAGAGGUCAGAGAGAAAGGAGAGAGAGGUUAGGGAGACGUUAGAGAGGUUAGAGAGACAGCAGAGAGGGGUUAGGGAGACGUUAGAGAGGUUAGAGAGACAGGAGAGAGAGGUUAAAGAGACAGGAGAGAGAGGUUAGAGAGACAGCAGAGAGGGGUUAGAGAGACGUUAGAGAGGUUAGAGAGACAGGAGAGAGAGGUUAAAGAGACAGGAGGGAGAGGUUAGAGAGAGGUUAGAGAGAAAGGAGAGAGAGAAAGGAGAGAGAGGUUAGAGAGCAAGGAGAGAGAGGUGAGAGAGAGAUUAGAGAGAAAUGAGAGAGAUGUUAGAGAGACAGGUUAGAGAGACAGGAGAGAGAGAUUAUAGAGACAGGAUAGAGAGGUUAGAGACACAGGAGAGAGGGGUUAGAGAGGUUAGAGACACAGGAGAGAGAGGUUAGAGAGACAGGAGAGAGGUUAGAGAGAAAGGAGAGAGAGGUUAGAGAGACAGGAGAGAGAGGUUAGAGAGACAUGAGAGAGGGGUUAGUGAGACGUUAGAGAGACAGGACAGAGAGGUUAGAGAGCAAUGAGAGAGAGGUUAGAGAGACAGCAGAGAGAGGUCAGAGAGAAAGGAGAGAGAGGUUAGAGAGCAAUGAGAGAGGGGUUAGAGAGAGAUGAGAGAGAGGUUAGAGAGACAGGAGAGAGAGGUUAGAUACAGGAGAGAGAGGUCAGAGAGACAGGAGAGAGGUUAGAGAGACAGGGGAGAGAGGUUAGAGAGACGUUAGAGAGGUUAGAGAGAAAGGAGAGAGAGAAAUGAGAGAGAGGUUAGAGAGCAAGGAGAGAGAGGUUAGAGAGACAGGAGAGAGAGAUUAGAGAGAAAUGAGAGAGAUGUUAGAGAGACAGGUUAGAGAGACAGGAGAGAGAGAUUAUAGAGACAGGAUAGAGAGGUUAGAGACACAGGAGAGAGGGGUUAGAGAGGUUAGAGACACAGGAGAGAGAGGUUAGAGAGACAGGAGAGAGAGGUUAGAGAGAAAGGAGAGAGAGGUUAGAGAGACAGGAGAGAGAGGUUAGAGAGACAUGAGAGAGGGGUUAGUGAGACGUUAGAGAGACAGGACAGAGAGGUUAGAGAGCAAUGAGAGAGAGGUUAGAGAGACAGCAGAGAGAGGUCAGAGAGAAAGGAGAGAGAGGUUAGGGAGACGUUAGAGAGGUUAGAGAGACAGCAGAGAGGGGUUAGGGAGACGUUAGAGAGGUUAGAGAGACAGGAGAGAGAGGUUAAAGAGACAGGAGAGAGAGGUUAGAGAGACAGCAGAGAGGGGUUAGGGAGACGUUAGAGAGGUUAGAGAGACAGGAGAGAGAGGUUAAAGAGACAGGAGGGAGAGGUUAGAGAGAGGUUAGAGAGAAAGGAGAGAGAGAAAGGAGAGAGAGGUUAGAGAGACAGGAGAGAGAGGUUAGAGAGACAGGAAAGAGAGGUUAGAGAGACAGGAAAGCUGGUUGGAAAGACAGGAGAGGUUAGAGAGGGGUUAGAGAGGUUUGAGAGAGAGGUUAGAGAGACAGGUUAGAGAGACAGGAGAGAGAGGAUAGAGAGAGGCAGUACAAAAGGCAGUGAGAGGUUAGAGAGAGGCAGUACAAAAGGCAGUGAGAGGUAGUACAAAAGGCAGAGAAAGAUUAGAGAGAUGCAGUACAAAAGGCAGAGAGAGGUUAGAGAGAGGCAGUACAAAAGGCAGAGAGAGGUAGUACAAAAGGCAGAGAGAGGUUAGAGAGAGGCAGUACAAAAGGCAGAGAGAGGUUCGAGAGAGGCAGUACAAAAGGCAGAGAGACGCAGUACAAAAGGGAGAGAGAGGUUAGAGAAAUGCAGUACAAACGGCAGUGAGAGGUUAGAGAGAGGCAGUACAAAAGGCAGAGAGAGGUAGUACAAAAGGCAGAAAGAGGUUAGAGAGAGGCAGUACAAAAGGCAGAGAGAGGCAGUACAAAAGGGAGAGAGAGGUUAGAGAGAGUCAGUACAAAAGGCAGUGAGAGGUUAGAGAGAGGCAGUACAAAAGGCAGUGAGAGGUUAGAGAGAGGUAGUACAAAAGGCAGUGAGAGAUUAGAGAGAGGCAGUACAAAAGGCAGUGAGAGGUAGUACAAAAGGCAGAGAGAGGUUAGAGAGAGGCAGUACAAAAGGCAGUGAGAGGUAGUACAAAAGGCAGAGAGAGGUUAGAGAGAGGCAGUACAAAAGGCAGAGAGAGGCAGUACAAAAGGCAGAGAGAGGUAGUACAAAAGGCAGAGAGAGGUUAGGUGCCACUGUCCAGAAGCAAUGCCUGAUAGGUUACAGCUUGAAAAGCUGCCACUACUUUUUAUUUGUCAUCACAUACUGUUCAUGUGCAGUUUUACAGGGUCGGCCAUAGCUGUACCUCACCCCUGGAGCAAAUUACAUGAAAGUGCUUUGCUCAAGGGCACUUCAACAGAUGUUUCAGCUUGUCAGCUUGGGGAAUUGAACCAGCAACCUUUUGGUUACUGGCCCAAUGCUCUAACCACUAGGCUACCUGUUGCCCGUAAUGUGUCACUUUCUCAACCCCAUAUCUGGCCAGAAAUACUAGGAGUUUAACAUUGUGCUUUCCUGUUUACAUGACAAUUGAUCGUAUGCCACAGAUGAUAUGAUUAUCACUGUUCAGGAAGUGACAAUAACUCAAGCUUACUCAGAAACUGUGCAUAGCGUUAUACCUUAAAGGGGCAAUCUGCAGUUGCAACAUACAUUUUUGGACUUGAAUGAAUUCUAAAUGAAUGAUAUUCUUGAAGAAUAUAACAUAUACAGUUAAUUAUUUGGUCACCUACAAACAAGCAAGAUUUCUGGCUCUCACAGACCUGUAACUUCUUCUUUAAGAGGCUCCUCUGUCCUCCACUCAUUACCUGUAUUAAUGGCACCUGUUUGAACUUGUUAUCAGUAUAAAAGACACCUGUCCACAACCUCAAACAGUCACACUCCAAACUCCACUAUGGCCAAGACCAAAGAGAUGUCAAAGGACACCAGAAACAAAAUUGUAGACCUGCACCAGGCUGGGAAGACUGAAUCUGCAAUAGGUAAGCAGCUUGGUUUGAAGAAAUCAACUGUGGGAGCAAUUAUUAGGAAAUUGAAGAAAUACAA
Long non-coding RNA from Oncorhynchus keta (chum salmon), 5419 nucleotides. RefSeq lists it as uncharacterized. The transcript has 7 exons. The record is from RefSeq and is a predicted model, not a curated record. Lineage: Eukaryota; Metazoa; Chordata; Actinopteri; Salmoniformes; Salmonidae.